GGAAAGAUUCAUCGGUAUGGGAUGGGGUCGCGUCCUAUCAGCUUGAUGGCGGGGUAACGGCCCACCAUGGCUUCGACGGGUAGCCGGCCUGAGAGGGCGACCGGCCACAUUGGGACUGAGAUACGGCCCAGACUCCUACGGGAGGCAGCAGUGGGGAAUAUUGCACAAUGGGCGCAAGCCUGAUGCAGCGACGCCGCGUGCGGGAUGACGGCCUUCGGGUUGUAAACCGCUUUUGACUGGGAGCAAGCCCUUCGGGGUGAGUGUACCUUUCGAAUAAGCACCGGCUAACUACGUGCCAGCAGCCGCGGUAAUACGUAGGGUGCAAGCGUUAUCCGGAAUUAUUGGGCGUAAAGGGCUCGUAGGCGGUUCGUCGCGUCCGGUGUGAAAGUCCAUCGCUUAACGGUGGAUCCGCGCCGGGUACGGGCGGGCUUGAGUGCGGUAGGGGAGACUGGAAUUCCCGGUGUAACGGUGGAAUGUGUAGAUAUCGGAAA
Molecule: ribosomal RNA, 491 nt
Filed under: Bifidobacterium adolescentis JCM 15918
Lineage: Bacteria; Bacillati; Actinomycetota; Actinomycetes; Bifidobacteriales; Bifidobacteriaceae
Description: bacterial SSU rRNA
Rfam family: Bacterial small subunit ribosomal RNA
Source: RNAcentral